GACGAACGCUGGCGGCGUGCUUAACACAUGCAAGUCGAACGCUGAAGCUCAGCUUUUGUUGGGUGGAUGAGUGGCGAACGGGUGAGUAACACGUGAGUAACCUGCCCCCUUCUUUGGGAUAACGCCCGGAAACGGGUGCUAAUACUGGAUAUUCACUGAUCUUCGCAUGGGGGUUGGUGGAAAGGGUUUUUUCUGGUGGGGGAUGGGCUCGUGGCCUAUCAGCUUGUUGGUGGGGUGAUGGCCUACCAAGGCUUUGACGGGUAGCCGGCCUGAGAGGGUGACCGGUCACAUUGGGACUGAGAUACGGCCCAGACUCCUACGGGAGGCAGCAGUGGGGAAUAUUGCACAAUGGGCGAAAGCCUGAUGCAGCGACGCCGCGUGAGGGAUGGAGGCCUUCGGGUUGUAAACCUCUUUCGCUCAUGGUCAAGCCGCAACAAAGGUUGUGGUGAGGGUAGUGGGUAAAGAAGCGCCGGCUAACUACGUGCCAGCAGCCGCGGUAAUACGUAGGGCGCGAGCGUUGUCCGGAAUUAUUGGGCGUAAAGGGCUUGUAGGCGGUUGGUCGCGUCUGCCGUGAAAUCCUCUGGCUUAACUGGGGGCGUGCGGUGGGUACGGGCUGACUUGAGUGCGGUAGGGGAGACUGGAACUCCUGGUGUAGCGGUGGAAUGCGCAGAUAUCAGGAAGAACACCGGUGGCGAAGGCGGGUCUCUGGGCCGUUACUGACGCUGAGGAGCGAAAGCGUGGGGAGCGAACAGG
Molecule: ribosomal RNA, 753 nt
Filed under: uncultured Actinomyces sp.
Lineage: Bacteria; Bacillati; Actinomycetota; Actinomycetes; Actinomycetales; Actinomycetaceae
Description: bacterial SSU rRNA
Rfam family: Bacterial small subunit ribosomal RNA
Source: RNAcentral